This 99-nucleotide signal recognition particle RNA is filed under the name Treponema sp. RNAcentral's name for it is "signal recognition particle sRNA small type". It matches the Rfam family "Bacterial small signal recognition particle RNA". Rfam says of the family: The signal recognition particle (SRP) is a universally conserved ribonucleoprotein involved in the co-translational targeting of proteins to membranes. Archaeal SRP consists of a 7S RNA and homologues of the eukaryotic SRP19 and SRP54 proteins. Lineage: Bacteria; Pseudomonadati; Spirochaetota; Spirochaetia; Treponematales; Treponemataceae. The record is from RNAcentral.
GUCCAGAUGCUUUGCACAUCACAGCUGGAAAACCCCGCCAGAUCCGGAAGGAAGCAACGGUAUUCAGAUUGUGGUGGUGCCGAAGAUUAUCUGGGCCUU